This 327-nucleotide ribosomal RNA is filed under the name uncultured eukaryote. RNAcentral's name for it is "partial 18S ribosomal RNA". It matches the Rfam family "Eukaryotic small subunit ribosomal RNA", at positions 1470 to 1796 of the family's 1831-position model. The record is from RNAcentral.
CCCUUAGAUGUUCUGGGCCGCACGCGCGCUACACUGACGAAUGCAACGAGCUUAUAACCUUGGCCGAAAGGUCUGGGUAAUCUCCAAAUUUCGUCGUGAUGGGGAUAGAUUAUUGCAAUUAUUAAUCUUCAACGAGGAAUGCCUAGUAAGCGCAAGUCAUCAGCUUGCGUUGAUUACGUCCCUGCCCUUUGUACACACCGCCCGUCGCUCCUACCGAUUGAAUGGUCCGGUGAAGCGCUCGGACCGCGGCCUCUUGACGGUUUUCCGUCGAUUGGCUGUGGGAAGUUCGUUAAACCUUAUCAUUUAGAGGAAGGAGAAGUCGUANCA